GGCCCGUUGGUCAAGUGGUUAAGACACCGCCCUUUCACGGCGGUAACAUGGGUUCGAAUCCCGUACGGGUCACCA
RNAcentral lists this transfer RNA (75 nucleotides) under Bacillus cereus. RNAcentral's name for it is "tRNA-Glu". It matches the Rfam family "tRNA". Rfam says of the family: Transfer RNA (tRNA) molecules are approximately 80 nucleotides in length. Their secondary structure includes four short double-helical elements and three loops (D, anti-codon, and T loops). Further hydrogen bonds mediate the characteristic L-shaped molecular structure. tRNAs have two regions of fundamental functional importance: the anti-codon, which is responsible for specific mRNA codon recognition, and the 3' end, to which the tRNAs corresponding amino acid is attached (by aminoacyl-tRNA synthetases). tRNAs cope with the degeneracy of the genetic code in two manners: having more than one tRNA (with a specific anti-codon) for a particular amino acid; and 'wobble' base-pairing, i.e. permitting non-standard base-pairing at the 3rd anti-codon position. Lineage: Bacteria; Bacillati; Bacillota; Bacilli; Caryophanales; Bacillaceae. RNAcentral also lists the same sequence under 14 other names. The record is from RNAcentral.